ACUAGAAUGAAUGGCUAAAUGAAGACUAAACUGUCUCUUGCAGGCAAGCCAAUGAAAUUGAUUUUCCAGUACAAAAGCUGAAAUACAACCAUAAGACGAGAAGACCCUGUGGAGCUUUAAAACCAAACUCAUCAACCAUGCUUCCUUGGAUUUUUAGUUGGGGCGACUUCGGAGUAUAAAAAAACCUCCGAAAUAUGAAAUUUGACUGAGACCAACACACCAAAAACAAUAUCAUAAGACCCAGCAACCACCUCGUGUUGACUGACCAAUGAACCAAGUUACCCCAGGGAUAACAGCGCCAUCCCCUUCUAGAGUCCCUAUCGACAAGGGGGUUUACGACCUCGAUGUUGGAUCAGGACACCCCAAUGGUGCAGCCGCCAUUAAAG
RNAcentral lists this ribosomal RNA (386 nucleotides) under Iberolacerta bonnali. RNAcentral's name for it is "partial 16S ribosomal RNA". It matches the Rfam family "Bacterial large subunit ribosomal RNA", at positions 1986 to 2570 of the family's 2925-position model. Lineage: Eukaryota; Metazoa; Chordata; Lepidosauria; Squamata; Lacertidae. The record is from RNAcentral.